This 253-nucleotide ribosomal RNA is filed under the name uncultured bacterium. RNAcentral's name for it is "partial 16S ribosomal RNA". It matches the Rfam family "Bacterial small subunit ribosomal RNA", at positions 524 to 776 of the family's 1533-position model. The record is from RNAcentral.
UACGGGGGGGGCAAGCGUUGUUCGGAAUUACUGGGCGUAAAGGGUUCGUAGGUGGCCCGCUAAGUCACACGUGAAAUCCCUCAGCUUAACUGGGGAACUGCGUGUGAGACUGGCAGGCUUGAGUGCAGGAGAGGAACGCGGAAUUCCAGGUGUAGCGGUGAAAUGCGUAGAUAUCUGGAGGAACACCGGUGGCGAAGGCGGCAUCCUGGACCGGCAUUGACGCUGAGGCGCGAAAGCCAGGGGAGCAAACGGG